CCUUUGCCACCACCAACUCCACUAGCCACACUUGCUCCACCACCUACUCCACUAGCCACACUUGCUUCACCACCUACUCCAUUAGCCACACUUGCUCCACCACCACUUGCACCUACAAAUGAAGACAUAAACAAUAAAAAAUAUUUGGUAAAUGGCUAUAUAAGCCUUCUCAUAUUUUGUAUUUAGGAGAGGAAGAAGUUUUGGGGGAGAAAGUUAUUGUAAAGGAUUUUUGAGA
RNAcentral lists this long non-coding RNA (235 nucleotides) under Gossypium barbadense (sea-island cotton). RNAcentral describes it as "long non-coding RNA (GBAR_LNC002300)". The record is from RNAcentral. Lineage: Eukaryota; Viridiplantae; Streptophyta; Magnoliopsida; Malvales; Malvaceae.